CUGGCCCUGAAUCAAGGACGGCAGCUUCCUGAUGCUGUUGGUUUUAAGCAGGAGCCUAAACAUAACUUGGGCAGUGAAAUGAUCAAUUCAUUAGAAAGAAACAGCU
This 106-nucleotide small nucleolar RNA is filed under the name Cavia porcellus (domestic guinea pig). The record is from RNAcentral. Lineage: Eukaryota; Metazoa; Chordata; Mammalia; Rodentia; Caviidae.